RNAcentral lists this ribosomal RNA (253 nucleotides) under uncultured bacterium. RNAcentral's name for it is "partial 16S ribosomal RNA". It matches the Rfam family "Bacterial small subunit ribosomal RNA", at positions 524 to 776 of the family's 1533-position model. The record is from RNAcentral.
UACGUAGGGGGCAAGCGUUGUCCGGAAUCAUUGGGCGUAAAGAGCGUGUAGGCGGCCAGAAAAGUCCGCUGUGAAAACUCGAGGCUCAACUUCGAGCUGUCGGUGGAAACUUUCUGGCUAGAGUCCGGAAGAGGAGAAUGGAAUUCCUGGUGUAGCGGUGAAAUGCGCAGAUAUCAGGAGGAACACCGGUGGCGAAGGCGGCUCACUGGCCCGGUACUGACGCUGAGGUGCGAAAGCGUGGGGAGCAAACAGG